GGCUCUGAAGUAUAUAUUACGUUGAAUUGCAAAUUCGAAAAAGUAGCUUAAGUGCUGCCGGGGCU
RNAcentral lists this transfer RNA (65 nucleotides) under Dasyurus geoffroii (western quoll). RNAcentral describes it as "transfer RNA-Cys". The record is from RNAcentral. Lineage: Eukaryota; Metazoa; Chordata; Mammalia; Dasyuromorphia; Dasyuridae.